GCGUUGGGAGCUCUCCCAUAUGGUCGACCUGCAGGCGGCCGCGAAUUCACUAGUGAUUAGAGUUUGAUCCUGGCUCAGAACGAACGCUGGCGGCAUGCCUAAUACAUGCAAGUCGAACGAGACCUUCGGGUCUAGUGGCGCACGGGUGCGUAACGCGUGGGAAUCUGCCCUUGGGUUCGGAAUAACUUCGGGAAACUGAAGCUAAUACCGGAUGAUGACGAAAGUCCAAAGAUUUAUCGCCCAGGGAUGAGCCCGCGUAGGAUUAGCUAGUUGGUGGGGUAAAGGCUCACCAAGGCAACGAUCCUUAGCUGGUCUGAGAGGAUGAUCAGCCACACUGGGACUGAGACACGGCCCAGACUCCUACGGGAGGCAGCAGUAGGGAAUAUUGGACAAUGGGCGAAAGCCUGAUCCAGCAAUGCCGCGUGAGUGAUGAAGGCCUUAGGGUUGUAAAGCUCUUUUACCCGAGAUGAUAAUGACAGUAUCGGGAGAAUAAGCUCCGGCUAACUCCGUGCCAGCAGCCGCGGUAAUACGAAUCGAAUUCCCGCGGCCGCCAUGGCGGCCGGGAGCAUGCGACGUCGGGCCCA
This 584-nucleotide ribosomal RNA is filed under the name uncultured Alphaproteobacteria bacterium. RNAcentral describes it as "bacterial SSU rRNA". It matches the Rfam family "Bacterial small subunit ribosomal RNA", at positions 1 to 583 of the family's 1533-position model. Lineage: Bacteria; Pseudomonadati; Pseudomonadota; Alphaproteobacteria. The record is from RNAcentral.